Molecule: ribosomal RNA, 271 nt
Filed under: uncultured archaeon
Lineage: Archaea
Description: partial 16S ribosomal RNA
Rfam family: Archaeal small subunit ribosomal RNA
Source: RNAcentral
CGGCGUCACGAGUGGCAAUCGCGUUUAUUGGGUCUAAAGCGUUCGUAGCUGGUUUAGUAAAUCUUUUGUGAAACUGUUGGGCUUAACUUAACAACGUGCAGAAGACACUACUAAACUUGAGAUCGGGAGGGGUUAGAAGUAUUUCAGGGGGAGCGGUAAAAUGUUAUAAUCCCUGAAAGACUACCUAUGGCGAAGGCAUCUAACCAGAACGAAUCUGACAGUGAGGAACGAAGGCCAGGGGAGCGAACCGGAUUAGAUACCCGAGUAGUCC